UUCUCUCUUUCGCAAAUCUCUACUUCCGUUUCUCUCAACUUGCCUUCUGUCACUCUCAAACGUCGGGCAAGCUAUCGACCACCCCUUAUCUACCUUCUUCUUCUUCUUCUUCCUUCGCUUCACCCUGUGCAAAUCUGAGAGACGCCUACCACAAUUGCUUCACUGGGGCCUCUCUCUAAAAUCCAUCUGAAAAAGGUAUAAUGGGUAUUGUUUGUGUUUGCAGGUUGUACUCGGCAAAGUCUGUGAAGGACCAAUAAAUGGAUUCGAAGAUGAACCAAGUCAAGGGACACGGAGCUCAGAAUAUCGGAGAGAUUUUAACCUUCUGCACUUCAAAUUUGAAGCACGAUGUAGUACAGAGUAUACAAUUCCUUGCUGGCUAUGAGAUUUUUCAAGAGGGUUUUGCCUUUCUGAAGAGUUACUUUCAAGGAUAAAAAUGAGUGUUCCAAAGAAAGCUAGGAGUUCCGGUGAUGAAAUUGAACUUAUCGUCUUGGGAUUGAGUUGCUUUUGCGACGGAGACAUUUCAGAAGAGAAUGAGACUUUCCAUGUCUGGAGUACUUUCUCUGCAUGCUUAGGGUAAAUUGUUUGCCUAUUCUGGGAGCAACUAUUCCGGGGUUGAUUGAUAGAGUGAAUAUUGAAUUUGUCGACAUUAAAGGGACUUGGGUCUUUGAUUGGUGGUGACCCAUAGCAACAAUUUGCAAUGUGCUGUGAAUGUUUGCAGAUGUGCUUCAACGUUGAGAUAGGAAUGAGUAUAGCGGGAGCCUUGUGCACUGGGUGGACUUAAAAGAGAUCAAGUAUGCAGGGGAUUGGUAGGGGAUUGGUAGGAUCAACAUAUAAGAGCUACUGAGUAUGGAACGCCAAAGAACCCACUUAAUUAGCUACAUAUCAACAUCAACAACAUCAACGGUGUGUUGCCAAUUCAAUUUGCAAGGAAGCUUUUGAAAAUGCUCAGGGAGAACAAGAGGUUUGCAUGGAAGAUGAGAAGACGAUCUCUGUAUCCUUCAAAACACGUAUUUUGGAAAGCUGGAUGAUUCGCCUAUGUUUCGCGAACAGGCAGUGGCACAUAUUUGGGCAGGGCUUGGAGAGCCGGACCCCAGAUGGUGUAUGCGUACACCAACAUGACCAAGGUGGUUGACCCUGCCGGCUGGAGCGACAAUAACCACCCCGAACGUGACAAAAAUGUGGCCUACAAAGAGUACAAGUGCAUGGGUCAAGGUUUUCUGGACCCUUGAUUUUUUAACGUGCAAGGCAUCAACAGAAAAUCGUGCAACUUGGUCUUUGACUCCUUUGGAGGAACUUCCACUUUCACUGGGUCCUGCUUCAUUACUGUAUUGCUAACAUGUUCCGCUUAAUCACGUCUCGUUGUACAGUUUUUCAUUCCUCAAAAUCACAAUUGGUAAUAUCCUCACACAAAGAAAUGCUUCUGUUGGAAUAUUGUUUCAUCGUUCGGUUGAGCUCUUCUUCUGUUCAUACAGUCUACAGACUCCGCACUUCUUCACCUUCAAGCCUGUCUCGCUUUUGCAACGAAACCGAAUCUGAUCCCAACAUUUCCCCUUCGAAUGCCGACCAAUGCAAUUCAUAGAUAGAAAGCUCAACCAAAGGUGAUCUGAUGCUACUUCCUCGGUAAUACAGCGAAGAGGGCACUCAGGAGUGUCUUGAAAGGUGGUGUUUGAACCAAAAUUGAUCAAACAUGUAAUUUCAUGCCUAUAAUGUCUUGACCAUUUUACUCCACGAUUGGGAGCUGAAAUAUUUUGAGAACCUACAAAUAGAACGCAAAAAGCAAACCCCACUGCCUUGCUAUUGCUUGAGUGCGAAGGUUGCUUCUCAAUCACCGAAUCUCCCAUGCUUUGGUUAUUUAACCACUCAGGAAUUUCACUUCCAGGAAUUACUAUAUCCCAAGACCAAGGGAGCUCCUGCACAAAGGAACAACGUAAAUAAAUGUACACAACUAAGGAGACGAGGAUAGGAGAGAGAAAUACCUGAUUGAAUCUCUUUAGCAUUGAAUACAUUAUGGCAUUACAACUUUGAUUUCCACCCAAACUGAAGCAAUUUUCCAAACUGCACCAAUAACGUCUAAAUCUGCGAUCAUCUGCAAUGGCUGGCAGUUGUUGAAGCCUUUUGCAAUUUGACAAGAAAAAAUUCCGCAGCUUAGAAAGCCCACUGAUGCUUGCAGGAAGGCUAACCAAAUGGUUUCCGCUAAGAUUUAGCCUUACUAAAGAGGACAAGAGACCAAUAUCCUUGGGAAUUGCUCCUUCAC
Molecule: small RNA, 2254 nt
Filed under: Malus domestica (apple)
Lineage: Eukaryota; Viridiplantae; Streptophyta; Magnoliopsida; Rosales; Rosaceae
Description: sRNA MD08G0017900
Source: RNAcentral